UACGAAGGGGGCUAGCGUUGUUCGGAAUCACUGGGCGUAAAGGGCGCGUAGGCGGCCGAUCAAGUCGAGGGUGAAAGCCUGUGGCUCAACCACAGAAUUGCCUUCGAUACUGGUUGGCUUGAGACCGGAAGAGGUAAGUGGAACUGCGAGUGUAGAGGUGAAAUUCGUAGAUAUUCGCAAGAACACCAGUGGCGAAGGCGGCUUACUGGUCCGGUUCUGACGCUGAGGCGCGAAAGCGUGGGGAGCAAACAGG
This 253-nucleotide ribosomal RNA is filed under the name uncultured bacterium. RNAcentral describes it as "partial 16S ribosomal RNA". It matches the Rfam family "Bacterial small subunit ribosomal RNA", at positions 524 to 776 of the family's 1533-position model. The record is from RNAcentral.